RNAcentral lists this long non-coding RNA (328 nucleotides) under Ananas comosus (pineapple). RNAcentral's name for it is "long non-coding RNA (ACOM_LNC032801)". Lineage: Eukaryota; Viridiplantae; Streptophyta; Magnoliopsida; Poales; Bromeliaceae. The record is from RNAcentral.
CACAUACAAUAUGAAAAAAGAAAAAUUAAUUUAAUCUCUCCACAAAAUUCUCUCUUUCGGGUUCGCUCUAGGGCACCAUUAGAAACCCUGAGGAUUUGGGCGGUGUGCUGCGAUCGACUCUAGUAGCCAGUUAGCAACGAAAAAGAAUAAAGUGCGAGACAAAUUCUUGGUGGAUCGAAGAGUUCGUAAAACAAGACGGGAUUAAAUUCUGGUAAUCGUAAUAUAUUCCGUAGUGAAAGAGGUAUGUAAAAAUCUAUGUGAUUUUUGUGUUUUGUUUUGGCUAUUAUUUUUUCCAACAGUGGUAUCAGAGCCUGUUAGUUCUUGUUUU